Molecule: ribosomal RNA, 717 nt
Filed under: uncultured bacterium
Lineage: Bacteria
Description: bacterial SSU rRNA
Rfam family: Bacterial small subunit ribosomal RNA
Source: RNAcentral
UAGAGUUUGAUCCUGGCUCAGGAUGAACGCUAGCGGCAGGCUUAACACAUGCAAGUCGAGGGGCAUCGGGAGGGAAGCUUGCUUUCCUUGCCGGCGACCGGCGCACGGGUGAGUAACACGUAUGCAACCUGCCCUCUUCAGGGGGACAACCUUCCGAAAGGGAGGCUAAUCCCGCGUAUAUCGGUUUCGGGCAUCCGAGAUCGAGGAAAGAUUCAUCGGAAGAGGAUGGGCAUGCGGCGCAUUAGCUAGACGGCGGGGUAACGGCCCACCGUGGCGACGAUGCGUAGGGGUUCUGAGAGGAAGGUCCCCCACACUGGUACUGAGACACGGACCAGACUCCUACGGGAGGCAGCAGUGAGGAAUAUUGGUCAAUGGGAGAGAUCCUGAACCAGCCAAGCCGCGUGAGGGAAGACGGCCCUAUGGGUUGUAAACCUCUUUUGUCGGAGAACAAAACCCGGGACGAGUCCCGGACUGCGUGUAUCCGAAGAAAAAGCAUCGGCUAACUCCGUGCCAGCAGCCGCGGUAAUACGGAGGAUGCGAGCGUUAUCCGGAUUUAUUGGGUUUAAAGGGUGCGUAGGCGGUCCGUUAAGUCAGCGGUAAAAUUGCGGGGCUCAACCCCGUCGAGCCGUUGAAACUGGCAGACUUGAGUUGGCGAGAAGUACGCGGAAUGCGCGGUGUAGCGGUGAAAUGCAUAGAUAUCGCGCAGAACUCCGAUUG